ACCACAUUGGUAGCAUUCCUGACCGCAUCACAGCUACUAACGACAUUAGGGUACUUCACAGGUGGUUUUGGAAACCGUCUGCUGACAGCACAGAUUAAUAUAGACCAUAAACAAGGAAUAUUGAGGACAACUGUUAAGGCUUGCGUGAACAUAAUAAUAUGUUGAGGAACAAAAUCAUGCUUGACUGUCUCUGGAAGUUAAGGUUUCGGUCGAGAAAAUUUACUUCUAUAUACGAACGCCGCCGUCUUACUGUUAGACACGUAGUACAUUGUCCGUCACAGUGGCUAACAGUGGAAUCUUGCCUCUGGGAAUGACCGCGGCAACUGUGGUGUACCUUGAUCUAUUGACCCUUGUACCAUGUUCCAAAUGAUGAAUAUUUGCUAUACAUCUGAUAAGUUCCAGUUAGAUUUGUCAAAACAGCGUUUUGUAUAUUAAUCGAGCGAAUAUACAUAAUGAUUGAUA
This is a long non-coding RNA of Helicoverpa zea (corn earworm), 462 nucleotides long. RefSeq lists it as uncharacterized. The record is from RefSeq and is a predicted model, not a curated record. NCBI's taxonomy places the organism in Eukaryota, Metazoa, Arthropoda, Insecta, Lepidoptera, Noctuidae. The transcript has 2 exons.